This 425-nucleotide ribosomal RNA is filed under the name uncultured bacterium. Its description in RNAcentral is "partial 16S ribosomal RNA". It matches the Rfam family "Bacterial small subunit ribosomal RNA", at positions 354 to 796 of the family's 1533-position model. The record is from RNAcentral.
GUGGGGAAUCUUGCGCAAUGGGCGAAAGCCUGACGCAGCCAUGCCGCGUGAAUGAUGAAGGUCUUAGGAUUGUAAAAUUCUUUCACCGGGGACGAUAAUGACGGUACCCGGAGAAGAAGCCCCGGCUAACUUCGUGCCAGCAGCCGCGGUAAUACGAAGGGGGCUAGCGUUGCUCGGAAUUACUGGGCGUAAAGGGCGCGUAGGCGGAUCGUUAAGUCAGGGGUGAAAUCCCAGAGCUCAACUCUGGAACUGCACUUGAUACUGGCGAUCUUGAGUGUGAGAGAGGUAUGUGGAACUCCGAGUGUAGAGGUGAAAUUCGUAGAGAUUCGGAAGAACAACAGUGGCGAAGGCGACAUACUGGCUCAUUACUGACGCUGAGGCGCGAAAGCGUGGGGAGCAAACAGGAUUAGAAACCCCAGUAGUCC